GGAAAGUUACACGCAACGCUUUUUGAGUUUGAAGCGAAACCCAGAGCGUUUGAGAAGAAAUUCUGGGUCGUAUUUGCAAAAGGACAGCUGGAAUUAAAAGCCAUAGCUAGGGCAGGUUGCACUCCGGCCCAGCCCCCUUCUGCGCGCCCCGACGCUGCUUUCUCCUCACAAAUUACAACGGGCACAGUCCUCCGACUGCUUGAGCUCCUCCAGACCAGGAUUUUGAUCCUUGCUUGACACAGUUACAGCUAUUUUCCAGGCUGCAGCACAAACUGUACGUAAGUAUGGCUGGGAGAUGCCAGAUUCCUCUCCAUGAAACCUACUUAGUGGUGUCUGUCUCCAGGAAUCAAAGACAGGAAGUUCUGAAAUCUUUCAAAAAGAAGCAAGAGAUCAAUUUAAAGGAGUCACUCAUCCAAGCAAGUGUGCGAGCAAGCAAACAGGUUUUCACUGAAUCUCCAACUGCCAGCAAGCUAACUCCACUGCCA
Molecule: long non-coding RNA, 485 nt
Organism: Symphalangus syndactylus (siamang)
Lineage: Eukaryota; Metazoa; Chordata; Mammalia; Primates; Hylobatidae
Source: RefSeq, a predicted model, not a curated record